Molecule: ribosomal RNA, 433 nt
Filed under: uncultured bacterium
Lineage: Bacteria
Description: partial 16S ribosomal RNA
Rfam family: Bacterial small subunit ribosomal RNA
Source: RNAcentral
AACGAACGCUGGCGGCAUGCCUAACACAUGCCAGUCGAACGAGACCUUCGGGUCUAGUGGCGCACGGGUGCGUAACGCGUGGGAACCUGCCCUUAGGUUCGGAAUAACUCCCCGAAAGGGGUGCUAAUACCGGAUAAUGUCUUCGGACCAAAGAUUUAUCGCCUUUGGAUGGGCCCGCGUUGGAUUAGCUAGUUGGUAGGGUAAAAGCCUACCAAGGCGACGAUCCAUAGCUGAUCUGAGAGGAUGAUCAGCCACACUGGGACUGAGACACGGCCCAGACUCCUACGGGAGGCAGCAGUGGGGAAUAUUGGACAAUGGGCGAAAGCCUGAUCCAGCAAUGCCGCGUGAGUGAUGAAGGCCUUAGGGUUGUAAAGCUCUUUUACCCGGGAUGAUAAUGACAGUACCGGGAGAAUAAGCUCCGGCUAACUCCGUG